Esox lucius (northern pike) is the source of this 1527-nucleotide long non-coding RNA. The record is from Ensembl. Lineage: Eukaryota; Metazoa; Chordata; Actinopteri; Esociformes; Esocidae.
GUAUGUUAGCUAGUUGGAUGCUCAUAUGCUGAUAACCGAUGUAUUGACUCAUAGCUGUAAAAGACUUACCUAGCCAAGGCGCAUGAAUUAUGAGCUACCCAGGAUGUGAGCAGCGCAUUAAACACAGGAUGCACCAUAGACAUCUUAUUUAAAGGUUAGACAUCUCAUGGCGCAGUCACUUCCGGCAUCACCGGUGGCCAUCUUGUCACAGGCAGGCUUCCUGUCGGGCUCUGUGGUACCUAAUAUAAGGUUCAGCCAGGACCACUUGGAGCUUCUCUUCAACUCCAUCAGAGUAUCUGGUAGGGUUCAUAAUUUAUAUUUACCAGCCGCAACACUAAGUGACUUGUAUUGUUUUCAGUUUGUCGGUCCAUAUGUUUUUUUACUUUUGGUAACAUGUGUUUUCUGCAGACACACCUUAACCCUAAGACACACACAAUACCUGGAAGUGUCACAAACCAUUUUGAGUAUUUAGAAAAAUGCCUGUGUUUGACUAUUUGUUUGCAGAACUUAUCAUCACUGAUACAGUCUGAAUUGUAUGAUAAUGUCAUUCAACCUAUUUUAUGUGGAAAGAUCAUUCAGGGGUGGCUAGUUCUUUUUUUGUAAAAAUGUUUUAAGCAUAAAACAUUUUAAAGCAUGUAUUGAAUAUCUGUGUACUAUUCUUGUAUAUCUUUUUUUUUCCUUAAACGAAUAACAACCCUAAUGCCAGCCAGUUCAAGUACAUCUUUAGGAUGUAAAGCUGAUGGCCCAGUGUGGGGUUGUUAAACCAUGCAGAGGCAAUGUGACGGCACAGGAUGACACAGAGUCCCUACCAGCUGUCAUCGACACCUCUACAAGCCUGUCAGCUGUAGAUGUGUCCUCUGCAGCAGGAGGAGAAGAUCUUCCAUCCCCGUUUGCUGACAUUCCUGCCCUAGUACAUGAUCACAGCUACCUUCCCGUCCACUUCGAUGGUCUUGUGGACAACGCUCUCAUGUACAUUUCAGGAUUUGUUGUGCGACAAGCUCUGAAGAAGCUUUCGUGUGAUGUCUGCUGUGCCAGCCUGGUGACAUGCUGCAUCUGCCAUCAAGGACCAGAGCUACCACCUGCUGAUUUUAAAAAAACAAUGGAGGUCUGGUGAUUCCAUCAGAGGGAACCGUGAGUGUCGUCAGGGCAGCAGAGUGGGUCAUUCUGCAGUCAUCAGGCAGUACCAGACGAUCACAGCCCAUCAAACUGCUUGAGGUUGUUUACAUUGUCUGAAAAAGGAUCGGUUCAGAGGAUGUUUGUGUUGGGAUAGACAGUAUGGGAUAGACAUCCACCACCAUAGGCUGUUAAAAAUAAUUCUGUCCCUGUUUUUUAAGUUAAGGCUGCACCACAUCGCCAGAAUUACAAUCCUCAGCUUACAGAGCAACAACAUGCAACAGAAACUUAAUAAAACUGUCCUUUUCAAAGGACAUUAGCCCAAGGUAUGUAUUUUCAAGGUACUGUCCUCUUUUACUUCAACAGUAGUGUAGUGCUCUCUACAGCAUUUAUUUAUUUGUAUAUAUAAAUGAU